AAUACCUGACUUUAUUUUGUAAAGUGAAGCGCAAGAGAUUUACGGAAGUAGAAAUGUAAGAAAAUGCUGUGGAUGAACAGGGCUCUGGAGCUCUUUCAAAAGUUUUCCUGUGCUUCAGGUUACGGUCAGAGAUAGAUGGAGAUCCAAAGCCGUCAGCUACACUUUUACUUUCUUAGUUACAAUUUUUCCUCAAGAGUUUAACGUGGUGGUUCUAAUGAAGCAAUAGUUGGUUGAAUUUCGAGAUGAUUUUGUAGCAGAACUUUUAUUCGAUCCACCCUGUCUCUCAUGUUGUUGUAUGCGCGUUCUGUAUUAUUAAAGCUGGCAUGAAGAGACUCUGCUCCCUGUUCACCCAUCAUGGCACAUCCCACUUUCCAUUGAUUCAACCAUGGAAUAAGGUGGUCCUCCAUGAAGUGUAGCUUGGGUGUGAAAGUAGCUGAUAGAAAUGCAGACCUGUAGUACUGCACGAAGCAUUUAAUUGAUUCAUCUAGAGAUAUGAUAGAUACCUUCAGAGCUCUAUGAAUGUGGUUUCCAACGAAUGACCCACCAUGGUAUGCUUGCCUCUCAACUUUAAAUGAAGCAAGAGCUACAUCAAGAGACCGAACAAAAACCCCAUCUUCUUUAUCAAAACCUUUUCUUAGAACUGCCUGCUGCUUCAUUAUCUCAUUUUCCUAAGUUAGCAAUCCUAUUUAUGCUAUCAAUAAUAAGUUUUGAUGUGGAUAUGACUACUGGAUUGUGUUGAUGGUCUUGUGUAGUCAAGAGUUGUAGCUUAAGGUACUGGUUGGCAAUGUUCACUUCAUUAUGAAGUGAUAAUUUCUCAGUUUCCAUUGCUCUCUCUGAUAUCUUUGCUGUCAUGUACUGCUAAAAAGAGAAAUUCUGGGAUGACCUAGCAGUGGUAAUCUGUUUGUCCAGAGAAUGGCAUUCCUCUUCUAACAAGUUGAAGAGUCUUCGAAAAACUCCUAGUGUAAUAUGGAGUCCAGGUGGGCAAACCUAUAUUGAGUUGUUUUAGUUACGUUAUUUGUGCAUAGCUAAAAAAUUUACUUGUGUUAGCGGUAUGUGAAAAAAGUGCUUCCAAUUACAUUAUCAUAAAAUUUGGCCUUUUUGAGGUCUCCACCAGCUUUCAAAAAUUCAUUAUGCUUAUCCCUCAGUGUAGUUAAUGAUCUUAUUUGUGGUUGUCUGUUACUCUUUGGGGUCCCUAACUCCUCUGAUUUUAUAGAGCACCACAGACAACAGUGACGGCCUAUUUAUGCAUAAAUACUACUUUUAUAUUUAGUGUACAGUGUAUACCACUAGCUCCUGACAAUCCAUAUAAGUGGCAUAGCAAUUGGUAGUCUCCAAAGAGAAAUAUCCGUAUACUGUAGCUCCUAUCAUUGUUACAGAUGUUACAAAUAAUUUUUUUCUUUAUUUACCUCCAAGUAGAAUUCUGGAUAUCAUGUGUCACAUCAGAAUAUUUGUCCAGAGCAAUAUGUAGAUUAACAACAGAGUCUGGUCCUUCAAAUAAGGCAAAGACAAGACUGUUGUGGACAGAGUUGGGUUUUUCUACAUUUACAAUCUGGAGAGACAUCUUAAAAGAUGUCCCACCCUUAUCGAAUCCUAUCUUGACCCAGACCUCAUUUGGUGGUAUCUUGUUAUGCCAGAAUACCUUUCAUUCUCAUCCAACAAGUGGUAAAUCAGUGCCUUUAAGUCUCACACAUAUCCCAUUGCUGAAGGUCUCAGCUCACGACCUCCACUUUUAGUAUCAAAAC
Long non-coding RNA from Amphimedon queenslandica, 1742 nucleotides. RefSeq lists it as uncharacterized. Lineage: Eukaryota; Metazoa; Porifera; Demospongiae; Haplosclerida; Niphatidae. The transcript is spliced from 5 exons. The record is from RefSeq and is a predicted model, not a curated record.